CGCGUGCGCUCAGCUGGGAGGCGUGUCAGCUUGUAUGUAAACGAUCAGCCUUUUCCACAUGGUGACCGACGUUUGUGUUUUCUGUUAAGAAAAAUCACACUAUACGUAUUGUAAACAUAAACAGAAGCAGCCCUGCCCCGACGCGCCCCUACCCCAAGCGGAGCAGUCAUGUGGCAGGAGGCCCGCAAACAUGAGCGCAAACUGCGCGGGAUGAUGGUGGACUACAAGCGGCGUGGAGAGAGACGCAGACAGUACUAUGAGAAAAUCAAAAAGGAUCCAGCCCAGUUCCUGCAGGUACAUGGCCAGGCAUACAAAAUCCAUCUGGAUUCAGCUGUAGCCCUGGCAGCUGAGAGUCCCGUCAACAUGAUGCCUUGGCAAGGAGAUACCAGCAACAUGGUUGAUAGGUUUGAUGUCAGGGCACACCUGGACUACAUCCCCACCUAUACACCACCUCUCCUAAACACUACCACCACAGAGCAGGAAUCAGAAGAGAGGAAGUGCAAUUACGAGCGCUAUAGAGGUCUGGUGCAGAAUGACUUUGCGAACAUCUCAGAGGAACAGUGUCUGUACCAGAUCUAUGUGGAUGAACUCUACGGUGGCCUACAGAAACCAAAUGAGGAUGAGAAGAAAAAACUCUCUGAGAAGAAAGCUCAGAUCGGUUAUACAUAUGAGGACACUACAGUGACUGAACCAGAAGAACAGAUGGAGAAGGGAAAUGAGGAUGACUCAGAAAACAGCGAGUCUGAGGAAGACGAAGUCAUCCCUGACAUUGAUGUUGAGGUGGAUGUAGAUGAACUGAACCCAGAGCAGGUGACGGAGAUUAACAAGAUGGGCACCACUUAUGGCAUGGCAGAAGGGGACUUUGUGUGGAUGUUGAGGAAGGACAAGGAGGAAGUGGAGGCCAUUAAGCAUGCAAAAGCACUGGAGGCAGAGAAGGCCAUGUACUCUGGCCGGCGGUCUCGCAGACAGCGGAGAGAGUUUAGAGAGAAGUAUAUGAAAGGCAGGCAGAUCAGCCCACCCAGCUAUGCCAGAAGAGACAGUCCUACAUACGACCCCUACAAACGGCCAGAGUCAGACUCAAGUUCAGAGUCACGCUCUCGUUCUCGAACUCCAGGCAAUGAUAAGAUCACUUUCAUCACCAGCUUUGGGGGCAGUGAUGAUGAGGGAGCCUCAGCCACACAAGCCCCGCCUGCAGCUGCGUCAAGCCACACCUCCUCCAACACCGCAGGUCAUAGCAGGGGCUCCCGCCGAAGACGUUCUUCCUCCAGUCACUCGUCUUUUUCCUCCCGCUCCUCUUCACACCGGUCCUCACGCUCAUCCUCACGUUCCCGCCGGAGUCGUCAUUCUCGUGGGGGCAGGGACCGGGACAACCGUUACUCCAGAUCUCGCUCUCGCCGGCGGUCUGACUCCCGUUCACGGCAACGCAGUGGAGGCUCGAGGAGACGAUACGACAGGACUAGGUCUCGUUCCACAGAUCGGGGUAGAGACAGAAACCUGGAAAGAGACAGAGACCGGGACAGGGGGAGGCGCUACACAGGCCACAGACGAACCAGGUCUCGCUCGCGUUCUCGUUCAGGUGAUCGUUACCAGCGGCGGAGUCACAGCUCAGCAUACAGGAGGGGCGGGAGCAUCAGACAAAGCCCCUCCCACUCACCUGCAGUGAGCCGCAGCCUUUCCCCCUCCUCCCAUUCUGCUCCACUUACACCUGCUUCUGCAGACAAACUGAGAAAGCCUGAAAAUCCGGGUGGUAAAGAGACUGGAGCUGCCAAAGUCACCCAAAAUGACGCCACAAGAGAAGCUCAAACUCAAAAUGCAGAAGGCUCUAAACAAGCAAUCCAAGGCGGAUAAGAGGGCAGCACAAGCCAAGAUCCAGCAGCAAGAGCACAAGCGACAGGAACGAGAAGGAGUUCUUCGUGCAAUGGCAAGGAAAAUACGCAUGAAGGAGCGGGAACAGCGCGAAAAAGAGAGAGAUGAAUGGGAGAGGCAUUAUGGACGUCAGAGUCUCUCGCCCUCCCCCAAUGCCAAACACGGUCGAGACUACAGCUCAUCCAGAAGGAGAUCACGCUCAAGAUCACGGAGUCCUCAUUACCGGUACUGAGGCAUCUGCCGAAAAACUGUCAGGCCACAAGACGUCAAACAGAUGUUUCAGAAGUGAAUGGGGACCAUGAUGGCAAGAGUUUACAUAGUUUUUUGGGGAAAACAGUAUCAAUAAGAUAAAUUUCACUCACUUCUACAUCUUCUAAAAGAUGCAGUGGAAACAAAGUCAUUUCUAAAAUUAACACCAUCAUGCUCUGAGAACACUUUUCCUCUGCCAUUCUUGAUAUUACACCGCAGGUUUGCCACAAAUGAUCUGAGCCACUAGGAUUCUAAUAAACUUUGCAGAUUAUUUUGAGUCGAUCUGUUUAAUUUUAUGACAUAAGAUUAGGAUGAACUUUAUUCUUUCUCUUGUGUCCCCAUUAAAGAGAGAGAUUUUACCUCAUUGUCUAUAAUGCCUCAAAGAGUGAUGUGGAAUUUCUUUCAAAGAAAAUGUAGAUUCAAUGCCAUAAUCUUUUUCACUCGGCACUGUAAGUAUCUGGUAGUUUUUAUUGUAGUAGAAACAAUCAUCAGUGAUCACAGAUUUUGACAUUGAAAUAAAAAGGUAAUCGAUGAUGAAAAAUAA
Molecule: RNA transcript, 2659 nt
Organism: Carassius auratus (goldfish)
Lineage: Eukaryota; Metazoa; Chordata; Actinopteri; Cypriniformes; Cyprinidae
Gene name: CLK4-associating serine/arginine rich protein-like
Exons: 21
Source: RefSeq, a predicted model, not a curated record